GGAAAGGUGCAGGAGUGGUUGAACUGGCACGCCUGGAGAGCGUGUAACCGCUUACGCGGUUCGUGGGUUCGAAUCCCACCCUUUCCG
This is a transfer RNA of Melioribacter roseus, 87 nucleotides long. It matches the Rfam family "tRNA". Rfam says of the family: Transfer RNA (tRNA) molecules are approximately 80 nucleotides in length. Their secondary structure includes four short double-helical elements and three loops (D, anti-codon, and T loops). NCBI's taxonomy places the organism in Bacteria, Pseudomonadati, Ignavibacteriota, Ignavibacteria, Ignavibacteriales, Melioribacteraceae. The record is from Rfam.